RNAcentral lists this unclassified non-coding RNA (281 nucleotides) under plant metagenome. Its description in RNAcentral is "partial contains small subunit ribosomal RNA, internal transcribed spacer 1, and 5.8S ribosomal RNA". The stretch from base 1 to 50 matches the Rfam family "Eukaryotic small subunit ribosomal RNA", at positions 1784 to 1831 of the family's 1831-position model. The record is from RNAcentral.
GGAAGUAACGUAACAAGGUUUCCGUAGGUGAACCUGCGGAAGGAUCAUUAUUGUAUAACCGAGGUGCGAGGGCUGUCGCUGACCCGAAAGGUCGUGCACGCCCGAGUGCCCUCACACACAUCAAUCUCACCCCUAUGUGCACCACCGCGUGGGUCCCCCUUUGGCUUGUUCGGAGGGGGGCUUACGUUUUCACACAAACUUUGUAUGCAGUGUAGAAUGUAUUUUUUGUUUUUGCGAUCACGCAAUCAAUACAACUUUCAACAACGGAUCUCUUGGCUCUC